This 253-nucleotide ribosomal RNA is filed under the name uncultured Lachnospiraceae bacterium. RNAcentral describes it as "partial 16S ribosomal RNA". It matches the Rfam family "Bacterial small subunit ribosomal RNA", at positions 524 to 776 of the family's 1533-position model. Lineage: Bacteria; Bacillati; Bacillota; Clostridia; Lachnospirales; Lachnospiraceae. The record is from RNAcentral.
UACGUAGGGGGCAAGCGUUAUCCGGAUUUACUGGGUGUAAAGGGAGCGUAGACGGUGAUGCAAGUCAGAAGUGAAAGCCCGGGGCUCAACUCCGGGACUGCUUUUGAAACUGUGUAACUGGAGUACAGGAGGGGCAGGCGGAAUUCCUGGUGUAGCGGUGAAAUGCGUAGAUAUCAGGAGGAACACCGGCGGCGAAGGCGGCUUUCUGGACGAAAACUGACGCUGAGGUACGAAAGCGUGGGGAGCAAACAGG